ACGAACGCUGGCGGCAUGCCUCACCCAUGCAAGUCGAACGCGACCUUCGGGUCUAGUGGCGCCCGGGUGCGUAACGCGUGGGAACCUGCCCUUAGGUUCGGAAUAACUCCCCGAAAGGGGUGCUAAUACCGGAUAAUGUCUUCGGACCAAAGAUUUAUCGCCUUUGGAUGGGCCCGCGUUGGAUUAGCUAGUUGGUAGGGUAAAAGCCUACCAAGGCGACGAUCCAUAGCUGGUCUGAGAGGAUGAUCAGCCACACUGGGACUGAGACACGGCCCAGACUCCUACGGGAGGCAGCAGUGGGGAAUAUUGGACAAUGGGCGAAAGCCUGAUCCAGCAAUGCCGCGUGAGUGAUGAAGGCCUUAGGGUUGUAAAGCUCUUUUACCCGGGAUGAUAAUGACAGUACCGGGAGAAUAAGCUCCGGCUAACUCCGUG
RNAcentral lists this ribosomal RNA (432 nucleotides) under uncultured bacterium. Its description in RNAcentral is "partial 16S ribosomal RNA". It matches the Rfam family "Bacterial small subunit ribosomal RNA", at positions 29 to 507 of the family's 1533-position model. The record is from RNAcentral.